CCUUCUACGCGGCUCCUGAAACAGUUUAGAUGUUUACUUGCUUACACUGGUUUUUGGUUUCAGUUUCCUACCGCUGAAUAACUGCAGGAGUAAAGUUAGUGGUAAAAUAGGAGGCUGUCUAGGGACGUGAUUUCGGGGAAGAAGUCAGGCCUCGACGAGCCACCUUAAGAAAAGUGACUAGGCGGAGCACUCCCAGCUAAGAGCGGAAAGAUGAGAGAUAGAGGUGUGACUGAAGGCAGGGAUCCCCAGGCGCACGUGAGACCUCCGUAGAGGGGCGGGGCUUAGGGCUUUGCAGACCGGAGGCUUGUUCCGCGGAGGGUGGGGCGGUCUCUGCUUGCGCAUGCGCAAUGCCAGCCAGUGCCUGCGCGGCUUGCUCCAGCAAGGUAAAAUUUCCCACUGCGAGGCAGGCAGUGAUGCUGCGGCCGCUUCGCACUGUGGCUCCUGCCGACCGCCAGGCGCUGUUACAGUGGAUGCGAACUAACCAGUAAUUUAUCCCUACUUACAGAGAGAUUGCCCUACGUGUAACAGCUGCAUACAAAAAAGUUAUAAAAUUAUCAUUGGUUUAACAAGGAUAAGUGAAAAACAUUAAAAUUCUCCAACUGAACAAGGUGUGUCUGUUUCAUUGAUUGGCUGACUGUCAAAUCGGAAUCUGAUCUGCCCCAUUGACAAUGCCUUGGGCUUUUCCUCGGCCAUGGCAAAUGCCAGAGUCUUCUCAGCUGCCGCUUCACAAAAGAGGUACCAGCUUCUCACUGAACGAACACAGUGCAGCACCAGGAGUGACAGAAGAAGGAGGCGGCAGCGGUGGUUGAGGGACAGGGUGCGUGCACGUCCAAGUACAGUUCUUAAAAUGUUGAGGGCAUACAACAUAUGCUCAAUAAAUACCUGAUUUUUAAAAAAGA
Homo sapiens (human) is the source of this 899-nucleotide long non-coding RNA. NCBI's taxonomy places the organism in Eukaryota, Metazoa, Chordata, Mammalia, Primates, Hominidae. The record is from Ensembl.